Molecule: long non-coding RNA, 84 nt
Organism: Cotesia glomerata
Lineage: Eukaryota; Metazoa; Arthropoda; Insecta; Hymenoptera; Braconidae
Exons: 3
Source: RefSeq, a predicted model, not a curated record
UUUCAUCUGAGCUGUGCUGUGUUUGGACAUUUUCUUAGAUAUUUUGGGUUGAGACGAUUUAUUUGAUUUUCAUAGAAUUUUUAA